GGUUAAGUUAGAAAGGGCGCACGGUGGAUGCCUUGGCACUAGGAGCCGAAGAAGGACGGGACUAACACCGAUAUGCUUUGGGGAGCUGUACGUAAGCGUUGAUCCAGAGAUUUCCGAAUGGGGGAACCCACUAUCUUUAGUCGGAUAGUAUCCUUACGUGAAUACAUAGCGUGAGGAAGGCAGACCCAGGGAACUGAAACAUCUAAGUACCUGGAGGAAGAGAAAGAAAAAUCGAUUUCCUGAGUAGCGGCGAGCGAAACGGAAAGAGCCCAAACCAAGAAGCUUGCUUCUUGGGGUUGUAGGACACUCUAUACGGAGUUACAAAAGAAAGUUAUAAAUGAAGCGGUCUGGAAAGGCCCGCCAAAGACGGUAACAGCCCGGUAGUUGAAAUGGCUUUCCCUCCAGAGUGGAUCCUGAGUACGGCGGAACACGUGAAAUUCCGUCGGAAUCCGGGAGGACCAUCUCCCAAGGCUAAAUACUCCCUAGUGACCGAUAGUGAACCAGUACCGUGAGGGAAAGGUGAAAAGCACCCCGGAAGGGGAGUGAAACAGUUCCUGAAACCGUGUGCCUACAAGUAGUUAGAGCCCGUUAAUGGGUGAUAGCGUGCCUUUUGUAGAAUGAACCGGCGAGUUACGAUUUGUUGCAAGGUUAAGCGGAAAAAGCGGAGCCGUAGCGAAAGCGAGUCUGAAUAGGGCGCAUAAGUAACAGGUCGUAGACCCGAAACCAGGUGAUCUACCCAUGUCCAGGAUGAAGGUAAGGUAAUACUUACUGGAGGUCCGAACCCACGCACGUUGAAAAGUGCGGGGAUGAGGUGUGGGUAGCGGAGAAAUUCCAAUCGAACUUGGAGAUAGCUGGUUCUCUCCGAAAUAGCUUUAGGGCUAGCCUCGAGGUAAAGAGUCAUGGAGGUAGAGCACUGUUUGGACUAGGGGCCCUUCUCGGGUUACCGAAUUCAGAUAAACUCCGAAUGCCAUGUACUUAUACUCGGGAGUCAGACUGCGAGUGAUAAGAUCCGUAGUCGAAAGGGAAACAGCCCAGACCACCAGUUAAGGUCCCCAAAUAUAUGUUAAGUGGAAAAGGAUGUGGGGUUGCUUAGACAACCAGGAUGUUGGCUUAGAAGCAGCCACCAUUGAAAGAGUGCGUAAUAGCUCACUGGUCGAGUGACCCCGCGCCGAAAAUGUACCGGGGCUAAACAUAUUACCGAAACUGUGGAUGAACCUCUUUAGAGGUUCGUGGUAGGAGAGCGUUCUAAGGGCGGUGAAGUCAGACCGGAAGGACUGGUGGAGCGCUUAGAAGUGAGAAUGCCGGUAUGAGUAGCGAAAGAAGGGUGAGAAUCCCUUCCACCGAAUAUCUAAGGUUUCCUGAGGAAGGCUCGUCCGCUCAGGGUUAGUCGGGACCUAAGCCGAGGCCGAUAGGCGUAGGCGAUGGACAACAGGUAGAGAUUCCUGUACCAGUGCUAAUUGUUUAACCGAUGGGGUGACACAGAAGGAUAGGGAAUCGCACGAAUGGAAAUGUGCGUCCAAGCAGUGAGUGUGAGAAGUAGGCAAAUCCGCUUCUCGCGAAGCAUGAGCUGUGAUGGGGAAGGAAAUUAAGUACGGAAGUUCCUGAUUUCACGCUGUCAAGAAAAGCCUCUAGGAAGAGUAGUACUGCCCGUACCGCAAACCGACACAGGUAGAUGAGGAGAGAAUCCUAAGGUGAGCGAGAGAACUCUCGUUAAGGAACUCGGCAAAAUGACCCCGUAACUUCGGGAGAAGGGGUGCUCUAUUAGGGUGCAAGCCCGAGAGAGCCGCAGUGAAUAGGCCCAGGCGACUGUUUAGCAAAAACACAGGUCUCUGCAAAACCGUAAGGUGACGUAUAGGGGCUGACGCCUGCCCGGUGCUGGAAGGUUAAGAGGAGUGCUUAGCUUCGGCGAAGGUACGAAUUGAAGCCCCAGUAAACGGCGGCCGUAACUAUAACGGUCCUAAGGUAGCGAAAUUCCUUGUCGGGUAAGUUCCGACCCGCACGAAAGGCGCAACGAUCUGGGCACUGUCUCAACGA
Molecule: ribosomal RNA, 2034 nt
Filed under: Listeria monocytogenes
Lineage: Bacteria; Bacillati; Bacillota; Bacilli; Caryophanales; Listeriaceae
Description: partial 23S ribosomal RNA
Rfam family: Bacterial large subunit ribosomal RNA
Source: RNAcentral